Molecule: long non-coding RNA, 3031 nt
Filed under: Bos grunniens (domestic yak)
Lineage: Eukaryota; Metazoa; Chordata; Mammalia; Artiodactyla; Bovidae
Description: lncRNA (ENSBGRG00000023260.1)
Source: RNAcentral
UCUCUCCUCAUUUUUUGCAUUUCAGGCCUCCUAAUUCCUUUCAGACAUUUCUCUAGGGCUCAUCCUUGAAUUUUUACUCCUAUCUACUGUUUCUGAAAGUGUUUUAUAGAUUAACUGUUGGUCUUGAUGUCAACGUUGCUGUUCCCUCCUAAAUCUCCCUUCUCUUUGAGAGGAGGUGAGGGUGGAGAGUUUUUUGAAGCUGCAGGCUAGGGGUAAUGACUUUAGUCUGGAUGAUUUGGUUUGCAGAGAGCGAAGGCCUUGGCUGAGAGACAUGAUCUUGGGUGGCUGAGUUAGAGGAACCGAAACUUGAUUGCUUCUCUGUGGGCAGCUCUAAGAUCUCCUUCCUGUUGUCCCUGGGCAGGAGGCUUAUUCCUGGAGAUGGGGCCAUUCCUAGCUUUUCAGCCUAUCCUGGGUUUCCUCUCUGGGCAUGGGGAGUAAAUGGCUCCUGAGGAAGUUUCUGAAGCGGCUUCUCUUGGUCAGACACAUGUUUUUGUGUCAAUCAAGUUGGUGUCAGCUGGAUCACAUGUCACUGAAGAGGUACCAGCCUCCAGAGCCACGUGGGGAGGGAGCGGGGACACUGAGGUCAGAGACAAGGGGAAGUGCUCUACUUUGUUAGAGGAGAAUCUGAGUGACUGCUUUGCUGGGCAACAAGAUCUGCCAGCUUGGGGAAGAUUUUUUUAAAUAGCCAGCCAAGCCAAGUCCACUGUGCUUAUUCUCCGUUUUGCUUUGGAGCUUGGCAUCGGCAGGGCUGAGGGCAGACUGCAGCCGUUUUCUUUUAAAAUCAAUCAAUAAACUUCAAGGAGAACAAAUGUUCCAGGUUCUCCUAAAGCUUUCCCCCAGAAGUUUGAGAUAAGGCUGGGAGAAGGGAUGUCACUUCUCCAGGGACUUUUCCCAGGUCAGGGGUGGUAGAACCUCUUGAAAUUUAAGAAAAGGAGAGAUUUAAUUUUUCAGUAAAAAUCUAGAAAUAACCAGGUUGUCAGAUCAUCAGCACCUGUUAGGCGAAUUCUGAUGCAGAAAGCAGUGUUACUGAUGAUCUAGUCUCAUUGACUGCUUCUUCCACUCUCUGUGACCCCCCUUCCCCACCCCACCCCCCAUAUCUUAGGCGUUUGAAAGGCCCAAGCCCAGAGCAGUUAUUAGACUCCAGAAGGGAAUACUGGCUUUGGUUGCUUGCCUUUGAAACAAUCAACUGCUCUCUAGCUGUGUGGUCCUGGGCAAGUAAAUUAACUUCUCUGGGCCUUAGUUUCCUCUCAUCUAAACUAGGGGCAGUGAUCAUCGGUCACGAUUUUAAUCUCAUAUUACGGUACUGUGGAUCCCAUAAAAGAAUACAUGUUGAGCAUCAGAUACAUAGUAAUUGCUCAGACUAUGUUGACUGCUACUGUUAUUAUGACGAUUAUCACUUCCUGCUCAGCCCUUGGAAUUAUACCACUCACAUUUAUUUUUAUCAUCUCAAAUCGGGUGACAGCCUAGUGGGUUUAAAGCUUGACUCACUUGCUGGUCCGUGUGGGCCGAUGACAGGGAUCCUGGGAAGCCGGGUCCUAGGACUCCAGUUUUUAGUGGGAAGGUGUCACUCUCCUAAGGCCCUUCUCCAGCCUUAGGAGAGGACCCAGAGAGAAAGUUUGUCCCUGGGCCCAGACUCAGACGCAGCCUUCUGGGAAGCAGCUGGAUAAGCUGGGGCACUGGGUGUCAUGGGAAAAGUGGGGAUCUGAGAAAGGUGUCCCUGGGGCUAAGCGGCUCACCCUCCCCUCCUGCCACACGCUCCAGCAUCUUGGGGCUGAAAACAAGGGUUGGGCUAGACAGGACUCUUCCCACUCCUCCACCUGCCAGGGAUACCACCUCCAGAGAGCAACUGCUUGGUGCACAGUCUUCCUGGCCUAAGGGGUCUGUUCUGGAUUUGAGGCAUCACCUGCCCCUGUAGCACAGCUACAGGAGGCACUAACUUUCUGCAAGCCUCUCUCACCAGUUGGUAGAUUUCAACCGUCUUUGACAUUCACUAGCAGUGUGUUGUUCCCUUCAUUGUGGACACUUAUUUGGCAGUGAAAGUGGAGCGGAGUCCCAGCUGUGUGCUUGAAAGUGUUCUCGUAGCUGGGAAUAGAGUGAUGGGUGCCCUUACCUUGUGGAGGGAAGAAGAAAAUAACCAAACAGGAUACAGGGCCAGGGGAAAAAAUGAAACAGGAGUAUGUGCUCCAGAGGGCUUGUAAAGGGGGAGCUUGAGACCUGACAAGGUGACCUAUGAGCUGAGAUGUGAGUGAUAAGGAGCCAACAGGCGGAGGUGAGGAGAGCAUGCCAGUAGACGGAAGAGCUGGGGCAAAUCCUGAGGCAGGGGGAGGCCUGGAGCGUUUGGGAAGGAGAGAGAUUGUGGCUAGAACAUUCAGAGUGAGAAAGGGGCCUGGAAGGGGCCAGAUCCCAUGAGGCCCUGUAGGUCAUGGGAGGGGCUCUGGUUUUUAUUUAUUCUCUGUUAUGGAAAACAUUGGAACCUUUUCAACAGAGGAGCGACACAAUAGGGUUUAUGCUUCAAAGACUCUUAUAAAGGCAAGAGUGAAGCCAGGAGCCAGUGAUGAGUGGGUCCAGGCAAGAGAUGAUGGUAACCAUCAAUACUAGCAUGGUAUUGAUAAAGAUGGAGGGAAAAGCCCAGCCUUAGGAUCUGUUCUGGAGGAAUUAUUCAGUCAGUUCAGUUCAGUUCAGUCGCUCAGUCUUGUCCAACACUUUGUGACCCCAUGAAUCGCAGCACUCCAGGCCUCCCUGUCCAUCACCAACUCCCGGAGUUCACUCAGACUCACGUCCUUCGAGUCUGUGAUGCCAUCCAGCCAUGUCAUCCUCUGUCAUCCCCUUCUCCUCCUGCCCCCAAUCCCUCCCAGCAUCAGAGUCUUUUCCAAUGAGUCAACUCUUCGCAUGAGGUGGCCAAAGUAUUGGAGUUUCAGCUUUAGCAUCAGUCCUUCCAAUGAACACCCAGGAGUGAUCUCCUUUAGGAUGGACUGGUUGGAUCUCCUUGCAGUCCAAGGGACUCUCAAGAGUCUUCUCCAACACCACAGUU